Molecule: ribosomal RNA, 301 nt
Filed under: uncultured bacterium
Lineage: Bacteria
Description: partial 16S ribosomal RNA
Rfam family: Bacterial small subunit ribosomal RNA
Source: RNAcentral
CAGCCGCCGCGGUAAUACGUAGGUGGCAAGCGUUGUCCGGAAUUAUUGGGCGUAAAGGGCUCGCGGGCGGUUUCUUAAGUCUGAUGCGAAAGCCCCCGGCUCAACCGGGGAGGGUCAUUGGAAACUGGGAAACUUGAGUGCAGAAGAGGAGAGUGGAAUUCCACGUGUAGCGGUGAAAUGCGUAGAGAUGUGGAGGAACACCAGUGGCGAAGGCGACUCUCUGGUCUGUAACUGACGCUGAGGAGCGAAAGCGUGGGGAGCGAACAGGAUUAGAUACCCGCGUAGUCCCUGUCUCUUAUAC